GUAUUAUAUUCUAAUCUCAUGUGUUCUUCCGAUUAUGAAGCAUUCUUGCGGGUUUUGGGUGGCAGACGAGGAUGAUGGGAUUGUUGUUUGAAUCCAAGGCAGCAAAAAUGGUAGAACAAAGUAGAGAUUUUAAUAUGAACUGGACUUUCCGAAUUAGAAUAAGACCACUUUCAAGAAAAAUUAAGAUCUGAAAUCAAGAAUCUUGGCUUUUAACCGUUGGUGACUACAGAAUCGAAUUUUUCAAUUUUUUUUUAUAAUUUUCUAUUUAUCCGCUCUGACUCAAUAGCUCGAAUGGGAUGCAAAGCAAAAGAUAAGGUGAAAAAAAUAAAA
Molecule: long non-coding RNA, 330 nt
Filed under: Olea europaea (common olive)
Lineage: Eukaryota; Viridiplantae; Streptophyta; Magnoliopsida; Lamiales; Oleaceae
Description: long non-coding RNA (OEUR_LNC010557)
Source: RNAcentral